Regulatory RNA element from Streptomyces ipomoeae 91-03, 56 nucleotides. It matches the Rfam family "L17-Actino-Proteobacteria ribosomal protein leader". Lineage: Bacteria; Bacillati; Actinomycetota; Actinomycetes; Kitasatosporales; Streptomycetaceae. The record is from Rfam.
CCGGUGAGCAUCCGCUCAUCGGGCCCUGACCUCGGUACCUCAUACGGCCGGGGCAG